CCAAUAGCGUAUAUUAAAGUUGUUGCAGUUAAAAAGCUCGUAGUUGAACUUCGGGGUUUACUCAUUGGUCAGGCUUAAUUGUCUGCACUGGUGAGAUGAAUCUCUACCUUCUGAGGAACUUUCAUGCCAUUUAUUUGGCGUGAUUGGAAAUCAGGACUGUUACUUUGAAAAAAUUAGAGUGUUUAAAGCAGGCUAACGUCUGAAUACAUUAGCAUGGAAUAAUGAAAUAGGACGGAUUGAUUCUAUUUCGUUGGUUUCUAGAGUCACCGUAAUGAUUAAUAGGGAUAGUUGGGGGCAUUAGUAUUCAAUUGUCAGAGGUGAAAUUCUUGGAUUUAUUGAAGACUAACUACUGCGAAAGCAUUUGCCAAGGAUGUUUUCAUUAAUCAAGAACGAAAGUUAGGGGAUCGAAGACGAUCAGAUACCGUCGUAGUCUUGACCAUAAACUAUGCCGACUAGGGAUCGGACGAAGUUAAUUUUAUAAUGACGCGUUCGGCACCUUACG
This 502-nucleotide ribosomal RNA is filed under the name uncultured Glomeromycotina. RNAcentral's name for it is "partial small subunit ribosomal RNA". It matches the Rfam family "Eukaryotic small subunit ribosomal RNA", at positions 591 to 1092 of the family's 1831-position model. The record is from RNAcentral. Lineage: Eukaryota; Fungi; Glomeromycota.